Molecule: ribosomal RNA, 2091 nt
Filed under: Echeneibothrium maccallumi
Lineage: Eukaryota; Metazoa; Platyhelminthes; Cestoda; Rhinebothriidea; Echeneibothriidae
Description: SSU rRNA
Rfam family: Eukaryotic small subunit ribosomal RNA
Source: RNAcentral
GUCGACAACCUGGUUGAUCCUGCCAGUAGUCAUAUGCUUGUCUCAAAGAUUAAGCCAUGCAUGUCUCAGUGCACGCCUUUANACGGUGAAACCGCGAAUGGCUCAUUAAAUCAGCUAUGGUUUAUUGGAUCGUACCCGUUAAAUGGAUAACUGUAAUAACUCUAGAGCUAAUACAUGCCACGAAGCCCUGACCCUUUUGGGAAUGGGUGCACUUAUUAGAUCAGAAGCCAACCACGUAUUGCCGCAAGGUGGUGCGUGUUGUCCUUUUGGUGACUCUGGAUAAUUGUUACAGAUCGCAGUCGGCCUUGAGUCGGCGACGGGUCCUUCAAAUGUCUGCCCUAUCAACUUUCGAUGGUAGGUGACCUGCCUACCAUGGUGAUAACGGGUAACGGGGAAUCAGGGUUCGAUUCCGGAGAGGGAGCCUGAGAAACGGCUACCACUUCCAAGGGAGGCAGCAGGCGCGCAAAUUACCCACUCCCAGUACGGGGAGGUGGUGACGAAAAAUACCGAUGCGGGACUCCUUAAAGAGGCUCCGUAAUCGGAAUGAGUGAACUAUAAAUCCUUUCACGAGGAUCAAUUGGAGGGCAAGUCUGGUGCCAGCAGCCGCGGUAACUCCAGCUCCAAUAGCGUAUAUUAAAGUUGCUGCAGUUAAAAAGCUCGUAGUUGGAUCUCCGUAUCACUGUUGCCUGUCAGUAUUUGGGCAGUUAGCUGCUGGAGCAUAGGCGAAGCUUGUGUUUUCAUGGUUGACUAGUUCAAGCUGGCGUGGCGAUGGUGUCACCUUUCAGCCAUGUCUGUGGUGAAAUAUCCACAGGUGUAGGCGAGUGUCAGGCGGUGCUUUGCAACAGUAAGGUCCGUCGGCUCGUUUGCAUGCCUUUGGAUGCCCUUCAAAAGGUGUCUGUAGGCGGAUGGCACGUUUACUUUGAACAAAUUUGAGUGCUCAAACCAGGCCGAUGUUGCCUGAAAAGUUUUGCAUGGAAUAAUGGAAUAGGACUUCGGUUCUAUUUCGUUGGUUUUCGGAUCCGAAGUAAUGAUCAAAAGAGACAGGCGGGGACGUUUGUAUGGCUGCGCUAGAGGUGAAAUUCAUGGACCGUAGCCAGACAAACUAAAGCGAAAGCAUUCGUCAAGCAUGUUUUCAUUGACCAUGAGCGAAAGUCAGAGGCUCGAAGACGAUCAGAUACCGUCCUAGUUCUGACCAUAAACGAUGCCAACUGACGAUCCGUGGCGGUAGUAUAUAAACCUUCCCCACGGGCAGUCCCCGGGAAACCUUUAAGUCUUUGGGUUCCGGGGGAAGUAUGGUUGCAAAGCUGAAACUUAAAGGAAUUGACGGAAGGGCACCACCAGGAGUGGAGCCUGCGGCUUAAUUUGACUCAACACGGGAAAACUCACCCGGCCCGGACACUGUGAGGAUUGACAGAUUGAUAGCUCUUUCUUGAUUCAGUGGUUGGUGGUGCAUGGCCGUUCUUAGUUGGUGGAGCGAUUUGUCUGGUUAAUUCCGAUAACGAACGAGACUCCAGCCUGCUAAUUAGAGUAUUCGUCCACUGUUCCUGUGUAGGCGGCGUUCGACGUGACUGCUUCUGUUUGCUAGUUUAUGAGUACUGGCCUCGGUUGGUGCUUGUGUUCUAGUUUAGCAGAUAUGGUUGGCUCGUCGCUAGUCUCCGGGUACGGCGCGGAUGCUUACUUCUUAGAGGGACAAGCGGGAGAAGCCGCACGAAAUUGAGCAAUAACAGGUCUGUGAUGCCCUUAGAUGUCCGGGGCCGCACGCGCGCUACAAUGACGGUGCCAACGAGUCUGACCUUCUGGCCCGAAAGGGUUGGGCAAACUGGUCAAUCACCGUCAUGACAGGGAUCGGGGCUUGGAAUUGUUCCCCGUGAACGAGGAAUUCCUAGUAAGUGCAAGUCAUAAGCUUGCGCUGAUUACGUCCCUGCCCUUUGUACACACCGCCCGUCGCUACUACCGAUUGAAUGGUUUAGUAAGGUCAUUGGAUUGGCGCCAUUGUGGCGAUUACCGAAAGGUGGUCGUCCGACGUGUGCUGAGAAGACGACCAAACUUGAUCAUUUAGAGGAAGUAAAAGUCGUAACAAGGUUUCCCGUA